RNAcentral lists this ribosomal RNA (237 nucleotides) under uncultured Staphylococcus sp. RNAcentral describes it as "partial 16S ribosomal RNA". It matches the Rfam family "Bacterial small subunit ribosomal RNA", at positions 103 to 334 of the family's 1533-position model. Lineage: Bacteria; Bacillati; Bacillota; Bacilli; Caryophanales; Staphylococcaceae. The record is from RNAcentral.
CGGGUGAGUAACACGUGGAUAACCUACCUAUAAGACUGGGAUAACUUCGGGAAACCGGAGCUAAUACCGGAUAAUAUAUUGAACCGCAUGGUUCAAUAGUGAAAGACGGUUUUGCUGUCACUUAUAGAUGGAUCCGCACCGCAUUAGCUAGUUGGUAAGGUAACGGCUUACCAAGGCAACGAUGCGUAGCCGACCUGAGAGGGUGAUCGGCCACACUGGAACUGAGACACGGUCCAG